GAUGAACGCUGGCGGCGUGCCUAAUACAUGCAAGUCGAGCGAACGGACGAGAAGCUUGCUCCUCUGAUGUUAGCGGCGGACGGGUGAGUAACACGUGGAUAACCUACCUAUAAGACUGGGAUAACUUCGGGAAACCGGAGCUAAUACCGGAUAAUAUUUUGAACCGCAUGGUUCAAUAGUGAAAGACGGUCUUGCUGUCACUUAUAGAUGGAUCCGCGCUGCAUUAGCUAGUUGGUAAGGUAACGGCUUACCAAGGCAACGAUGCGUAGCCGACCUGAGAGGGUGAUCGGCCACACUGGAACUGAGACACGGUCCAGACUCCUACGGGAGGCAGCAGUAGGGAAUCUUCCGCAAUGGGCGAAAGCCUGACGGAGCAACGCCGCGUGAGUGAUGAAGGUCUUCGGAUCGUAAAACUCUGUUAUUAGGGAAGAACAAAUGUGUAAGUAACUAUGCACGUCUUGACGGUACCUAAUCAGAAAGCCACGGCUAACUACGUG
This 497-nucleotide ribosomal RNA is filed under the name uncultured bacterium. Its description in RNAcentral is "partial 16S ribosomal RNA". It matches the Rfam family "Bacterial small subunit ribosomal RNA", at positions 28 to 507 of the family's 1533-position model. The record is from RNAcentral.